UACGGAGGGUGCAAGCGUUAUCCGGAUUCACUGGGUUUAAAGGGAGCGUAGGUGGGCUGGUAAGUCAGUGGUGAAAUCUCCGGGCUUAACCCGGAAACUGCCAUUGAUACUAUUUGUCUUGAAUACUGUGGAGGUCAGCGGAAUAUGUCAUGUAGCGGUGAAAUGCUUAGAUAUGACAUAGAACACCAAUUGCGAAGGCAGCUGGCUACACAAAUAUUGACACUGAGGCACGAAAGCGUGGGGAUCAAACAGG
This 253-nucleotide ribosomal RNA is filed under the name uncultured bacterium. RNAcentral's name for it is "partial 16S ribosomal RNA". It matches the Rfam family "Bacterial small subunit ribosomal RNA", at positions 524 to 776 of the family's 1533-position model. The record is from RNAcentral.